This is a long non-coding RNA of Haliotis rubra (blacklip abalone), 232 nucleotides long. RefSeq lists it as uncharacterized. NCBI's taxonomy places the organism in Eukaryota, Metazoa, Mollusca, Gastropoda, Lepetellida, Haliotidae. The record is from RefSeq and is a predicted model, not a curated record. The transcript has 4 exons.
UGACUAUUUCUUUGUCAAUAAAGUUUAGAUAGAGUGGACUCUGGCAAUAUCGGCCUCUAUAAACACCGGCACUCUGCCUACAUCAGCACAAAGUUUCAGUCCCGGCAGAAAUGCACUUAAUUAUCAUUUAGAUACAUCUGUAAACAUCAGCAUCUGUCUACUCAGGAUAUCGGCAUUGUUUUUCAGUCCCAACGAACAAGUUGUUAUGAAAACGAAUCUGUAAAAACCGGCA